RNAcentral lists this ribosomal RNA (325 nucleotides) under Colletotrichum truncatum. Its description in RNAcentral is "partial large subunit ribosomal RNA". It matches the Rfam family "Eukaryotic large subunit ribosomal RNA", at positions 271 to 602 of the family's 3401-position model. The record is from RNAcentral. Lineage: Eukaryota; Fungi; Ascomycota; Sordariomycetes; Glomerellales; Glomerellaceae.
AGUUUGGGAAUGCUGCUCAAAAUGGGAGGUAUAUUUCUUCUAAAGCUAAAUAUUGGCCAGAGACCGAUAGCGCACAAGUAGAGUGAUCGAAAGAUGAAAAGCACUUUGAAAAGAGGGUUAAACAGCACGUGAAAUUGUUAAAAGGGAAGCGCUUGUGACCAGACUUGCGUCCGGUGAAUCACCCAGCUCUCGCGGCUGGGGCAUUUUGCCGGCUCAGGCCAGCAUCAGCUUGCCGUCGGGGACAAAAGCUUCGGGAACGUAGCUCUCUUCGGGGAGUGUUAUAGCCCGUUGCAUAAUACCCUUCGGUGGGCUGAGGUACGCGCUC